CCUACGGGUGGCUGCAGUGGGGAAUAUUGGACAAUGGGCGAAAGCCUGAUCCAGCCAUGCCGCGUGUGUGAAGAAGGCCUUCGGGUUGUAAAGCACUUUCAGUGGGGAAGAAAGCCUUGGGGCUAAUACCCUCGAGGAAGGACAUCACCCACAGAAGAAGCACCGGCUAACUCCGUGCCAGCAGCCGCGGUAAUACGGAGGGUGCGAGCGUUAAUCGGAAUUACUGGGCGUAAAGCGCGCGUAGGGGGUCUGAUAAGCCGGUUGUGAAAGCCCCGGGCUCAACCUGGGAACGGCAUCCGGAACUGUCAGGCUAGAGUGCAGGAGAGGAAGGUAGAAUUCCCGGUGUAGCGGUGAAAUGCGUAGAGAUCGGGAGGAAUACCAGUGGCGAAGGCGGCCUUCUGGACUGACACUGACGCUGAGGUGCGAAAGCGUGGGUAGCAAACAGGAUUAGAUACCCUAGUAGUC
This 465-nucleotide ribosomal RNA is filed under the name Vreelandella stevensii. RNAcentral's name for it is "partial 16S ribosomal RNA". It matches the Rfam family "Bacterial small subunit ribosomal RNA", at positions 338 to 795 of the family's 1533-position model. Lineage: Bacteria; Pseudomonadati; Pseudomonadota; Gammaproteobacteria; Oceanospirillales; Halomonadaceae. The record is from RNAcentral.